This 465-nucleotide ribosomal RNA is filed under the name uncultured bacterium. RNAcentral's name for it is "partial 16S ribosomal RNA". It matches the Rfam family "Bacterial small subunit ribosomal RNA", at positions 339 to 795 of the family's 1533-position model. The record is from RNAcentral.
CCACGGGUGGCAGCAGUGGGGAAUAUUGCACAAUGGGCGCAAGCCUGAUGCAGCCAUGCCGCGUGUAUGAAGAAGGCCUUCGGGUUGUAAAGUACUUUCAGCGGGGAGGAAGGGAGUAAAGUUAAUACCUUUGCUCAUUGACGUUACCCGCAGAAGAAGCACCGGCUAACUCCGUGCCAGCAGCCGCGGUGAAUACGGAGGGUGCAAGCGUUAAUCGGAAUUACUGGGCGUAAAGCGCACGCAGGCGGUUUGUUAAGUCAGAUGUGACAUCCCCGGGCUCAACCUGGGAACUGCAUCUGAUACUGGCAAGCUUGAGUCUCGUAGAGGGGGGUAGAAUUCCAGGUGUAGCGGUGAACUGCGUAGAGAUCUGGAGGAAUACCGGUGGCGAAGGCGGCCCCCUGGACGAAGACUGACGCUCAGGUGCGAAAGCGUGGGGAGCAAACAGGAUUAGAUACCCCCGUAGUC